UACGGGGGGAGCAAGCGUUGUUCGGAUUUACUGGGCGUAAAGGGCGCGUAGGCGGCCACCGCAAGUCGACUGUGAAAUCUCCGGGCUUAACUCGGAAAGGUCAGCCGAUACUGCGGGGCUAGAGUGCAGAAGGGGCAACUGGAAUUCUCGGUGUAGCGGUGAAAUGCGUAGAUAUCGAGAGGAACACCUGCGGCGAAGGCGGGUUGCUAGGCUGACACUGACGCUGAAGCGCGAAAGCUAGGGGAGCGAACGGG
This 254-nucleotide ribosomal RNA is filed under the name uncultured bacterium. RNAcentral describes it as "partial 16S ribosomal RNA". It matches the Rfam family "Bacterial small subunit ribosomal RNA", at positions 524 to 776 of the family's 1533-position model. The record is from RNAcentral.